AGUGAGAAUGCUCACAUGAGUAACGAUAGGAGUGUGAGAGACACUCCCGCCGAAAGACCAAGGGUUCCUGCGUAAAGCUAAUCUGCGCAGGGUUAGCCGGCCCCUAAGGCGAGGCCGAAAGGCGUAGUCGAUGGGAAUCACGUUAAUAUUCGUGAGCCUGGAGGUAGUGACGGAUCGCGUGUGUUGUCAGUCCUUAUUGGAUUGGUCUGGCGGCGAAGCGGUUCCAGGAAAUAGCUCCUCCUUAUAGUCCGUACCCUAAACCGACACUGGUGGACUGGUAGAGAAUACCAAGGCGCUUGAGAGAACUCUGCUGAAGGAACUCGGCAAAUUACACGCGUAACUUCGGAAGAAGCGUGACCAUUCGACGGGCAACCGUCGGGUGGUGGCACAGACCAGGGGGUAGCGACUGUUUAUCAAAAACACAGGGCUCUGCGAAGCCGCAAGGCGACGUAUAGGGUCUGACGCCUGCCCGGUGCCGGAAGGUUAAAAGGAGGGGUGCAAGCUCCGAAUUGAAGCCCCAGUAAACGGCGGCCGUAACAAUAACGGUCCUAAGGUAGCGA
This 560-nucleotide ribosomal RNA is filed under the name uncultured Dinobryon. Its description in RNAcentral is "partial Bacterial large subunit ribosomal RNA". It matches the Rfam family "Bacterial large subunit ribosomal RNA", at positions 1287 to 1962 of the family's 2925-position model. The record is from RNAcentral. Lineage: Eukaryota; Chrysophyceae; Chromulinales.